RNAcentral lists this ribosomal RNA (450 nucleotides) under uncultured bacterium. RNAcentral's name for it is "bacterial SSU rRNA". It matches the Rfam family "Bacterial small subunit ribosomal RNA", at positions 355 to 796 of the family's 1533-position model. The record is from RNAcentral.
UAGGGAAUAUUGCGCAAUGGAGGCAACUCUGACGCAGCGACGCCGCGUGGGUGAUGAAGGCUUUCGGGUCGUAAAGCCCUGUCGGAAGGGACGAAAAAUGUUGUGGCUAACAUCCACGACAAUUGACGGUACCUUCAGAGGAAGCACCGGCUAACUACGUGCCAGCAGCCGCGGUAAUACGUAGGGUGCAAGCGUUGUUCGGAAUCAUUGGGCGUAAAGCGCGUGUAGGCGGUUAGAUAAGUCGAGUGUGAAAUCCCUGGGCUCAACCGAGGAAGUGCAUUCGAAACUAUCUGGCUGGAAGACGGUAGAGGAAGGUGGAAUUCCUAGUGUAGAGGUGAAAUUCGUAGAUAUUAGGAGGAAUACCAGCGGCGAAGGCGGCCUUCUGGACCAUUCUUGACGCUGAGACGCGAAAGCGUGGGGAGCAAACAGGAUUAGAUACCCCCGUAGUCC